ACAAAGAUAAAAACACAAACUGGUUGGUAGUCCGGUUGCGGCCCGAUUCCUCUCAGGCCGUCAGUAACCUUCCUCCUUAGGUCGUCCGUUCUUUGUCCAU
This 100-nucleotide non-coding RNA is filed under the name uncultured Enterocloster sp. Its description in RNAcentral is "yjdF RNA". It matches the Rfam family "azaaromatic riboswitch aptamer (yjdF RNA)", at positions 5 to 92 of the family's 101-position model. The record is from RNAcentral. Lineage: Bacteria; Bacillati; Bacillota; Clostridia; Lachnospirales; Lachnospiraceae.